This 289-nucleotide long non-coding RNA is filed under the name Capsella rubella. RNAcentral describes it as "long non-coding RNA (CRUB_LNC004883)". Lineage: Eukaryota; Viridiplantae; Streptophyta; Magnoliopsida; Brassicales; Brassicaceae. The record is from RNAcentral.
GAUAAUCUACGAAAUGUUACAUCAUCGUUAGAUAAUUAACAUUGUUGUUUUAUCGAUUUCAAAUGAUACUUUAAGUUGUAAAUAGUUCUGUUCUAUUUCUUAUGUUGUUGAUUACUACUCUUAAAACUAUGGUUGUAAAUAAUAUGUUUGUUAUUUGGUUUUUGAUAUAUAAAUUAACAUUUCCUGGUGACCAAAAAAAAAAAAAAAAAAUUAACAUUUCCUAGUUUCAACAGAUAGAAAUGGGCCUCAAAAGCCUUCUCAAUUUAUGGGCCGAACGUUUUAAAACAGC